RNAcentral lists this ribosomal RNA (387 nucleotides) under uncultured bacterium. RNAcentral's name for it is "bacterial SSU rRNA". It matches the Rfam family "Bacterial small subunit ribosomal RNA", at positions 30 to 414 of the family's 1533-position model. The record is from RNAcentral.
AUUGAACGCUGGCGGCAGGCCUAACACAUGCAAGUCGAGCGGAUGAAGAGAGCUUGCUCUCUGAUUCAGCGGCGGACGGGUGAGUAAUGCCUAGGAAUCUGCCUGGUAGUGGGGGACAACGUUUCGAAAGGAACGCUAAUACCGCAUACGUCCUACGGGAGAAAGCAGGGGGACCUUCGGGCCUUGCGCUAUCAGAUGAGCCUAGGUCGGAUUAGCUAGUUGGUGAGGUAAUGGACUCACCAAGGCGACGAUCCGUAACUGGUCUGGAGAGGAUGAUCAGUCACACUGGAACUGAGACACGGUCCAGACUCCUACGGGAGGCAGCAGUGGGGAAUAUUGGACAAUGGGCGAAAGCCUGAUCCAGCCAUGCCGCGUGAGUGAUGAAGG